Molecule: ribosomal RNA, 253 nt
Filed under: uncultured bacterium
Lineage: Bacteria
Description: partial 16S ribosomal RNA
Rfam family: Bacterial small subunit ribosomal RNA
Source: RNAcentral
UACGAGGGGGGCAAGCGUUGUUCGGAAUUAUUGGGCGUAAAGGGCGCGUAGGCGGUGCGGUAAGUCACCUGUGAAAACUCUGGGCUCAACUCAGAGCCUGCAGGCGAAACUGCCGUGCUUGAGUGUGGGAGAGGUGCGUGGAAUUCCCGGUGUAGCGGGGAAAUGCGUAGAUAUCGGGAGGAACAUCUGUGGCGAAAGCGGCGCACUGGACCACAACUGACGCUGAGACACGAAAGCGUGGGUAGCAAACAGG